UACCUUGCAAGUCUGAUGAAGUUCUGGACUAAAGUUCUCAUCUUCUGAGUAUAUGGCUCUUGAUGGGUCAGUUUAUGCAAUGAAAUAGAUUCUACCAGAAAGUCAGCAGACAAAGUAUUUUUUUCUUUGUAGGAAAAUAGGUAGGGAUGAAACCAAGUUAACUUUGGUGCUGCAAAAAGACCUCCCUGGAUCAAAUUCCAUUUUUUAAACAUCUUAUCCCAUGGUUACUGACUUAUUUUAUCUUGUAUUUUGCAUGUGCUGUUUAUCAUUGGAAAUCCCACAGUGAAUGACGCUGAUAUCCUGAGCAUGGAGAAAAUCACACACACCUGCUGAAUACCAUACCUCUGUAGGUAAAUAAAUUUGAAAAAGUAAAAUUUUCUGCCUGGGAAGAGAUUCAGUUGCAAAAAGCAAUACAUUGACUCACUUAAAUAGAGAUAUUUAAUGAAUUGUGAAGAUUAGACCCAUAUGCACAGAGCCACUAGAGGAUGUUUUGAUGAUUGGUUUGUACCUAAACUUGACUCAUAGAAGAUUUCUCUCUUGGGAAUCAAAAUAACUCAGGCCAAAUCCAUAAAAAUCCAAGAAGCUCCAGUCCAGAAGCAUCUCCAAGAUCACAGCAGCUGGAAAACACAAACUUUCAGGGUUCCACUUUGAGGACCUUGAGGAAGGCUGAAGACAGUGGCCCUGGCCCCAGGCUGCAGCACACUUUUACUCACCAUAGCCCAA
Passer domesticus (house sparrow) is the source of this 723-nucleotide long non-coding RNA. RefSeq lists it as uncharacterized. The transcript has 3 exons. The record is from RefSeq and is a predicted model, not a curated record. NCBI's taxonomy places the organism in Eukaryota, Metazoa, Chordata, Aves, Passeriformes, Passeridae.